AUCAAAACGAUAAGUAUUGAACACAGAAUUGAAUGAUUUUAUGAUAACAAAUCCCGCUGCCGCUACCGCUCGUGCGCACAACCAUGCAACCAUUUCAUAAAAUUACUGCAGACAGACGCAAGUGGCGGACUCAAAAAAUUAUUGAUAAAAACUUUCCGUUCGGUGUUUUGUAUAUUCGUGACCAUAUCUAAAACCGUGGUUAGAACCAACGGUCCAACCACAGCUUUAUUAACUUUUGAGGUUACAUCUUGUCUGAGUUUGUACUCUGAGUUGUCUGAUUGUUUUUAUUCUUUAAUUGUGUAAUUCAAUUUUGAUUCUAUUAAAUAUAUUAAUAUAUUAAUCUAUUUCCUACAUUCCUAGUAGCAUAUAAUAUUAUACUCGAUUUAUUAUAAUUUGUAAUUUAUAUUUUUUAAUCAAAGGUAUUACAAUAUUGAUCAUUAAUUAUCUUAUUGUACUAAAUUUGAAUGAAAUUAUAUUCAUUAUAUAAUUUAUAUUAUGGUGUUCGUUACAGCUGUUAUAGGUUUUCAAAAAAAUGGAUAAACCAGUAGUAUUAUCAAGAGUUUUGAAGGUACUGGGACGAACGGGUUCGCAAGGUCAAUGUACACAGGUUAAAGUGGAAUUUAUUGGUGAACAAAAUCGUCAAAUUAUCAGAAAUGUUAAGGGACCAGUACGUGAAGGCGAUAUCCUAACACUGCUUGAAUCUGAAAGAGAAGCUAGAAGACUUCGAUAAUCUAAAUAUACCUACUCUCAGUGAGUCCAGUUUAGUUAAAUAAUUGAGUGAUUUUAAAAAUUUAAAAAAAAAAAAUCAAUAUUGUUUUGACAGCAAUUAGUUCAGAUACAAGCUGACGUAUUAUUAAUCUUUAAAUUCUUUAAAAAUGUGUAUCAAUAUUUUUUCAUAUAAAGUUAGGUAUACAUGUGAAAUUCAUGCAACAAAAUACUGUAUAAAAACACAUAGUGGCAUAACCAUAUGGAGUUUUGAGUGUUGUAACUACCCAUUCCAUUGAAUUUUUUACUAUAGAAGAGGUUCAGAAGUUUGUAAAUCCCUAAACUGUCUUAUUGAUGAAUCUAUGCCACUGUAUACACUUAUGUUCAUUUAUCUAUUCUGAAGUUUAAACAAUAAUGAAUUGUUAAAUUAUAGUAACCUUGUGAAGGUUUAUUUUAAAGUUGCACAAUAUAUUUUGCGCAAGGACCCAUGUUUUAAUAAAUAGACUACCAGUCUUAUAUAACGGUGCUACAAAACUCCCUAGUUUCAGCAUUGGGCAUAAAUUCAAUUUAGUUCCCAAGUGAUUAUUAAGAAACUUUAUUUUUCAAAAUAUGUGAUUUUACAUGCUUUAAGCAUAUAAUAUGAUAGUAUUUUCAAAACAAGCCAAUUAAAAACUUGAGAGAUUCUUGAUUUUUCAGAAAUCUAGUUUUAAAAAAAAAAACAAAAAUUAAUUUUUUUUUUAAUAAAAUAAAUAAGUAAAUUUUGAGUUACUUUCAAAAUCAAAUAUUUGAAAUAAAUUUAUGUAUUAACAAUAAAAUGAAAAUUAAGUAAAGUAAUUAAUUUCCGAUUUCAUCAAAAAUAAAUGGACGUACUCACACAAUGGGUGGGCCACUGUUGUAGGUGAGUAAUUGGGAAGGCAAAGGGGAAAUGUAAUGUAUAUCUGUAAAUAUCUGUAACUUUAUUUUUUUUCGCCUACAAACAAUUAUGGGUACCACUCCACUUCGCCAAAAUUUUGUUGACACUAAAUAAAUCGUCUAUAAAAGUUUUGCAUUAAGAUUGUAUAUAAAUCUUCAAAACUAGGAAGGGUAUUCUCCCACACCCUUAUAAAAUCAAAUUACUUAUGCUAUUUAAAAUUACAAUUUAAUAUAAUUUUAAACAAUUUUUUUUUUUUCAGGUUUUUUGAUGCAUGUAUAUAUAAAUUUGUUUGAAUGUGGAACACCUGAUGCAUUCAAAAAACAAAAUUAAAUGUUGUUUAAAUUAUAUCUGUUAAAUAAAACAUCUUGAACUUGCAUUGAAAAUUGUG
This 2006-nucleotide long non-coding RNA is filed under the name Cinara cedri. Lineage: Eukaryota; Metazoa; Arthropoda; Insecta; Hemiptera; Aphididae. The record is from RNAcentral.